AUUCCAGCUCCAAUAGCGUAUAUUAAAGUUGUUGCGGUUAAAAAGCUCGUAGUUGGAUUUCUGUCGGUGAAUAUCAGUCCGCCCACAGCGGUAGGUACGUGAUAUUUCACCGGCAUCUUCCUGGGGAAUGUGUCUGCUCUUUAUUGAGUGGUACAUAAGCCAGGACUUUUACUUUGAAGAAAUGAGAGUGUUUCAAGCAGGCAUGCGCCGUGAAUACGUUAGCAUGGGAUAAUAGCAUCGGACCUCGUUCCAAAGCUGUUGGUUUCUUGGACCGAGGUAAAGGUGAAUAGGGAUUGUUGGGGGCAUUCGUAUUCGACUGUCAGAGGUGAAAUUCUUGGAUUUGUGAAAGAUGAACUCAUGCGAAAGCAUUUACCAAGGAUGUUUUCAUUA
This 390-nucleotide ribosomal RNA is filed under the name Syndiniales sp. Its description in RNAcentral is "partial small subunit ribosomal RNA". It matches the Rfam family "Eukaryotic small subunit ribosomal RNA", at positions 582 to 975 of the family's 1831-position model. The record is from RNAcentral. Lineage: Eukaryota; Dinophyceae; Syndiniales.